GCCCUUGUGGAUCAUGGUCAAUCAUCUUUAUUCUGUUGUAUUUUUCUUUGAAAAUUUAUGAAGACGUCGUAGGUUCGAAUCCUACCGAGGGCA
Molecule: non-coding RNA, 93 nt
Organism: Mycena leptocephala
Lineage: Eukaryota; Fungi; Basidiomycota; Agaricomycetes; Agaricales; Mycenaceae
Source: the annotation of a GenBank genome assembly